This 402-nucleotide ribosomal RNA is filed under the name Bacteroidota bacterium. Its description in RNAcentral is "Bacteroidetes bacterium partial 16S ribosomal RNA". It matches the Rfam family "Bacterial small subunit ribosomal RNA", at positions 355 to 776 of the family's 1533-position model. The record is from RNAcentral. Lineage: Bacteria; Pseudomonadati; Bacteroidota.
UGGGGAAUUUUGCACAAUGGGGGAAACCCUGAUGCAGCGACGCCGCGUGAUUUAGAAGGCCUUCGGGUUGUAAAAAUCUUUUUUACGGGAUGAAAAUGACAGUACCAUAAGAAUAAGGUCCGGCUAAAUACGUGCCAGCAGCCGCGGUAAUACGUAUGGACCGAGCGUUGUCCGGAAUCAUUGGGCGUAAAGGGUACGUAGGCGGCCCAGUAAGUUAGAAGUGAAAUAAUAUAGCUCAACUAUAUAAAGCUUUUAAAACUGCUAGGCUUGAGAGAUGGAAGGGAAAGUGGAAUUCCUAGUGUAGCGGUGAAAUGCGCAGAUAUUAGGAAGAAUACCGGUGGCGAAGGCGACUUUCUGGUCAUCAUCUGACGCUGAGGUACGAAAGCGUGGGUAGCAAACAGG